Camelus ferus (Wild Bactrian camel) is the source of this 72-nucleotide transfer RNA. It matches the Rfam family "tRNA". Rfam says of the family: Transfer RNA (tRNA) molecules are approximately 80 nucleotides in length. Their secondary structure includes four short double-helical elements and three loops (D, anti-codon, and T loops). Further hydrogen bonds mediate the characteristic L-shaped molecular structure. tRNAs have two regions of fundamental functional importance: the anti-codon, which is responsible for specific mRNA codon recognition, and the 3' end, to which the tRNAs corresponding amino acid is attached (by aminoacyl-tRNA synthetases). tRNAs cope with the degeneracy of the genetic code in two manners: having more than one tRNA (with a specific anti-codon) for a particular amino acid; and 'wobble' base-pairing, i.e. permitting non-standard base-pairing at the 3rd anti-codon position. NCBI's taxonomy places the organism in Eukaryota, Metazoa, Chordata, Mammalia, Artiodactyla, Camelidae. The record is from Rfam.
GAGGGUGUAGCUCAGUAGUAAAGUGUAUGCUUAGCAUGCAUGAGGUCCUGGGUUUGAUCCCCAGUACCUCUA